CCGCCGCGCGCGGCGGGCCUACGGGAGGCAGCAGUGGGGAAUAUUGCACAAUGGGCGCAAGCCUGAUGCAGCCAUGCCGCGUGUGUGAAGAAGGCCUUCGGGUUGUAAAGCACUUUCAGCGGGGAGGAAGGCGGUGAGGUUAAUAACCGCGGUCGAUGACGUUACCCGCAGAAGAAGCACCGGCUAACUCCGUGCCAGCAGCCGCGGUAAUA
RNAcentral lists this ribosomal RNA (212 nucleotides) under uncultured bacterium. Its description in RNAcentral is "partial 16S ribosomal RNA". It matches the Rfam family "Bacterial small subunit ribosomal RNA", at positions 312 to 525 of the family's 1533-position model. The record is from RNAcentral.